RNAcentral lists this small RNA (83 nucleotides) under Marmota monax (woodchuck). Lineage: Eukaryota; Metazoa; Chordata; Mammalia; Rodentia; Sciuridae. The record is from RNAcentral.
GCCGGGUGCAGUGGUGCACAUCUGUAAUCCCAGCAGCUCGGGAGGCUGAGGCAGGAGGAUCUCCAGUUCAAAGCCAGCCUCAG